This 380-nucleotide long non-coding RNA is filed under the name Homo sapiens (human). RNAcentral describes it as "non-protein coding SLC25A34-AS1:6". Lineage: Eukaryota; Metazoa; Chordata; Mammalia; Primates; Hominidae. The record is from RNAcentral.
AUGAGAGGCCUGUCCUGGUGGUAGGGCUAGGAGCACGGUUCAAAGGGUGCUGCUGGAGCUGUCCAAGGGGUGGCCAUUCUUCGGGGAAUGAGCUGAAACCACCCGGCCCUGCCUUGGGUGCAGCCUGCUCUGUAUCCCAGGUGUGCUGAGCGUAGAGCGAGAAGGAUCCUUGAGUCACCCCUGCCUGCUCCCAAGCAGCAGUCUUCGGAGGAGGAGAUCAGGACCCAGACGCACAUCGAGGGACCACCAUGUGCAGACACAGAGAGAAAGCAGCAUCUGCAAGCCAUGGACAGAGGCCUCAGAAGAAACCAGCCCACUGACACCUUGGUCUCCAGCAUCCAGCCUCCAGAACUGUGAGAAAAUACAUUUCUAUUGUCUAA